Molecule: non-coding RNA, 73 nt
Organism: Triticum urartu
Lineage: Eukaryota; Viridiplantae; Streptophyta; Magnoliopsida; Poales; Poaceae
Source: Rfam
GCCUGUUUAGCUUAAUUGGUAAAGUAUACUGCUCAUAACAGUAAUUAUAAAAGUUCAAGUCUUUUGAUAGGUA